GAAUAUGAUGAUAGAUAUUUUGUCGCCCCAGUCUUAUUUGCAUCUUUCUUUAGAUGCAAGGUGGUGAUUGACAUUCAUAACUGAUUC
This is a small nucleolar RNA of Impatiens glandulifera, 87 nucleotides long. RefSeq annotates it as small nucleolar RNA U31b. The transcript has a single exon. Lineage: Eukaryota; Viridiplantae; Streptophyta; Magnoliopsida; Ericales; Balsaminaceae. The record is from RefSeq and is a predicted model, not a curated record.